AGGAGAGACAACGGAAAUGGAGGUCGCAGAGGUGGAGGAAGCACUGAGGGUGUUGGAUUCUUCUCUAUCCCACAUCAAAUGGCGCCUCAAAUCUCCAUCCAAGCAUCGACUCCAAUUAGAUGUUCUGGCAUUGUGCACAGAGAUGAGGCCAGUAAUAAUGGUUGACUAUGGUGGAAAGAUGCCUGAACUGCAGGAGCAACUGUGUGCACUUCUUAAACUUUGCCAACAGGAGUCGGCUAUUUUUGAGCAUCUGAGAGUGAUGGUUAUUGAAGAUAUGAUAUAUUUGAUACAUGUAAGGGGACUUGCAGAGUAUGUCAAGUCAAGUUUGAAUUCUGAAGUAGAAUUGUUCUUUGUAAACCUAGAACAAGAUCCUCCAAAGAUGGUGACGCAAGCAGAAGAAAGCUCAUUAGUAACAGAACUUAUAAGAGUGCAGAAGUUAUUCUCUUUGUUUUUUCCUCUCAAUGAAAUGGACAAUGAUCUCUUGUCUUGUCACAUGAAGGAUACUGCAGCUAAUGCCGAAUCAUCUACCAACAAACCCAUAAUUUCUCAGUCCCCUGAGUUUAUUGAUCUCAGUAGUCGCAUGCAGGACACUCAGGUCACUGUGCCAACUUUAAAUGGGUAGAUUCUUGUUCUGAGAAAUGGUUCUAUUAUACUUGGAUUACUGAUAUGCACAACACUCAUGCUAAAGGUGAUUCAAAAGAUAAUGGUAUGGUUUCCAUAACAGAAUCAAGAUUCGUGUAGGAUUGCUAACUUAUGUAGGGAAUAUCAGCAAUUUGUAUCAUGCUUCUUUAAGACAGUUCUCAUUGGGCACUAGUGUAUAGGAUUCUAGCUUCUGAGUAGAACUUUAGUAGUUCUUCAAGAAUAAAUAUGGAAGAGCCGGUCACAUGCUCUGUUAUUCAACACAGCAGUAAAAGAUGGAUAUUUGUUGAUCUACAUGCAUAUCAACUGGUAUGUUAUUGUUGCAAUAUGCUUUAUUUCAUUUUAUCAAAAAUACUUAUUCUUAGGUCCUGAUCUGGUGAUGUCUUGUCAUACCAUGUGCCCUUCUUGCGUUAGGAAAUAGGAAGUGUAUGUGACCCUGAAAGAUUUCAUAUCUCUGGCUGUUGAAAAGUAAACGAUGAAUAGAGUUUCCAGAUUGAGAAGUUUGUUGCAACAAGUGUGUUGCAUCUCUGACUGGUAGAAUCCUUUUUUUCUCCAUUUCCUUGUAGAUCAUGACUGACCACAUAUAUUUAUGUCCAACAUGCUUGUUUCUUUUUGUUAAUUGUAAAUGGGUAGCUUAUUUGUUUUAGAUUGUGAUUAAAUUAGCACUGUAUUGUUUUAGUACCAUCUUGUUAUGGUAUAGUAAUCUUGUAUUUAAUGUACUUCAGCUGGCUUCUUGGUUAUCCGGUUGUGUACUUGUUCAGCAAGGAACACAUUGCAGAUGCCAUUUAUAAUCUUUCCACCAAGUAUCUUCGCAUCUUCAGAAUUUUAGUCAGCAGGUCUGUUUUUCCUGAUUAUUGUCUGGAUUAUGUUAAACACUCCACAGGUCAUAUAGAAUUUAAAGGAUGAUUUCUAAUGGUAACAAAUGAUGGUUAGUAUUUUGAAAUGUGUAUGCUGUGAAAUCUUUAUUUUCACUUUCAGAAUUUCUUAACUUAUUGACAUCCUUCACUAAACUUGCUUUUUAUCUCAUUGAUUUAUGUGAAGGUAAAUUUUGGUGCAUUCAGUAAAAGUCUUUUUUAAAGAAAAAGAUAGAAUCCUUCAGGUCUCAGCGCCACAAAAUUACUAUAAAAUGGCGCUCUUUUGCAGUUUAGCAAAUUCUUUUACUUUUAACAUUUAAUCAUGUGUGCUUUCAUUAAUUUUUGCAUUGCCCAUUUAUGGAUUCCUGCAGGAGCAUUUCACCCAAUAAAGGAUCGCAGCCAGAAGAACUGAUGAGUUUCUCAGUGCCUUAUGAACUGAGCAUGGGAGGAAGCAAGGAACAGUGGGCAGAGGCAUUUCUGGCCCAAAUGCAAUCAAGAUGGGAAAAAUGCAAAAAUAUUUGGAGGCCAUUGCAGAUGGAGGUGAGUGAAUGCUAUCCACAAGCAAUUGUGUUGUAGUGAUAAGUGCUAAACCUGCUGUUUGCCAUCAAACCAGUACCUUUACCUGUCCACCAAGAAAUAGUGUUGUUUCUUCUCACGGCAAUUAUCAUUUUGGGGAUAAACUUCCUAUGAUGUGAUUUAAUUACCUAGCAAAAUAAGAAUGCUUUAUCACUUUAAGAUGUGUAGAUAUUGCAUGAAAAAGUCUGCUUUACAUUAGCAAAAAGUCUGUUUUACAUUAGCAAUGGGAUGAUGGAAUUUG
This 2310-nucleotide unclassified non-coding RNA is filed under the name Hevea brasiliensis (rubber tree). The record is from RNAcentral. Lineage: Eukaryota; Viridiplantae; Streptophyta; Magnoliopsida; Malpighiales; Euphorbiaceae.